RNAcentral lists this ribosomal RNA (1008 nucleotides) under uncultured bacterium. Its description in RNAcentral is "bacterial SSU rRNA". It matches the Rfam family "Bacterial small subunit ribosomal RNA", at positions 335 to 1341 of the family's 1533-position model. The record is from RNAcentral.
ACUCCUACGGGAGGCAGCAGUGGGGAAUUUUGGACAAUGGGCGCAAGCCUGAUCCAGCAAUGCCGCGUGAGUGAAGAAGGCCUUCGGGUUGUAAAGCUCUUUUGUCAGGGAAGAAACGGACUUUUCUAAUACAGAGGUCUAAUGACGGUACCUGAAGAAUAAGCACCGGCUAACUACGUGCCAGCAGCCGCGGUGAUACGUAGGGUGCAAGCGUUAAUCGGAAUUACUGGGCGUAAAGCGUGCGCAGGCGGUUUUGUAAGUCUGUCGUGAAAUCCCCGGGCUCAACCUGGGAAUGGCGAUGGUGACUGCAAGGCUAGAGUUUGGCAGAGGGGGGUAGAAUUCCACGUGUAGCAGUGAAAUGCGUAGAUAUGUGGAGGAACACCGAUGGCGAAGGCAGCCCCCUGGGUCAAAACUGACGCUCAUGCACGAAAGCGUGGGGAGCAAACAGGAUUAGAUACCCUGGUAGUCCACGCCCUAAACGAUGUCUACUAGUUGUCGGGUCUUAAUUGACUUGGUAACGCAGCUAACGCGUGAAGUAGACCGCCUGGGGAGUACGGUCGCAAGAUUAAAACUCAAAGGAAUUGACGGGGACCCGCACAAGCGGUGGAUGAUGUGGAUUAAUUCGAUGCAACGCGAAAAACCUUACCUACCCUUGACAUGGCUGGAAUCCCCGAGAAAUUGGGGAGUGCUCGAAAGAGAACCAGUACACAGGUGCUGCAUGGCAGUCGUCAGCUCGUGUCGUGAGAUGUUGGGUUAAGUCCCGCAACGAGCGCAACCCUUGUCAUUAGUUGCUACGAAAGGGCACUCUAAUGAGACUGCCGGUGACAAACCGGAGGAAGGUGGGGAUGACGUCAAGUCCUCAUGGCCCUUAUGGGUAGGGCUUCACACGUCAUACAAUGGUACAUACAGAGGGCCGCCAACCCGCGAGGGGGAGCUAAUCCCAGAAAGUGUAUCGUAGUCCGGAUUGUAGUCUGCAACUCGACUGCAUGAAGUUGGAAUCGCUAGUAA